This 72-nucleotide transfer RNA is filed under the name bacterium. Its description in RNAcentral is "tRNA-Lys". It matches the Rfam family "tRNA". From Rfam's summary of the family: Transfer RNA (tRNA) molecules are approximately 80 nucleotides in length. Their secondary structure includes four short double-helical elements and three loops (D, anti-codon, and T loops). Further hydrogen bonds mediate the characteristic L-shaped molecular structure. tRNAs have two regions of fundamental functional importance: the anti-codon, which is responsible for specific mRNA codon recognition, and the 3' end, to which the tRNAs corresponding amino acid is attached (by aminoacyl-tRNA synthetases). tRNAs cope with the degeneracy of the genetic code in two manners: having more than one tRNA (with a specific anti-codon) for a particular amino acid; and 'wobble' base-pairing, i.e. permitting non-standard base-pairing at the 3rd anti-codon position. The record is from RNAcentral.
GGGCCGCUAGCUCAAUGGUAGAGCACCAGCCUUUUAAGCUGAUUGUUCUGGGUUCGAAUCCCAGGCGGCUCA